RNAcentral lists this ribosomal RNA (166 nucleotides) under Tiamatella sp. (SeqCode). RNAcentral's name for it is "Candidatus Tiamatella sp. partial 16S ribosomal RNA". It matches the Rfam family "Archaeal small subunit ribosomal RNA", at positions 1 to 162 of the family's 1478-position model. The record is from RNAcentral. Lineage: Archaea; Thermoproteati; Thermoproteota; Thermoprotei; Acidilobales; Acidilobaceae.
ACUCCGGUUGAUCCUGCCGGACCCGACUGCUAUCGGGGUGGGGCUAAGCCAUGGGAGUCGCACGACCCGCCGCUGCGGGGAGUGGCGGACGGCUGAGUAACACGUGGCUAACCUACCCUCGGGACGGGGAUAACCCCGGGAAACUGGGGCUAAUCCCCGAUAGGCG